AUUAUGGUCUUCUUGCAAUUUCUUUUCCUUGGUCUUUCAUUCCUCUCACUUCUCCGACUUCUUACAAGAAAGAGGAAGGGAAAAACUGUAGCUCCCAAGCUCCCACCAGGCCCAGCCAAGCUUCCCAUAAUUGGAAACCUGCACCAAUUGGGGAAGCACACGCACCACUCCCUCUGGCAACUAUCUCAACAACAUGCCCCCUUAUGUAUCUGAAACUUGGUAGAAUACCC
This 230-nucleotide long non-coding RNA is filed under the name Elaeis guineensis (African oil palm). RNAcentral's name for it is "long non-coding RNA (EGUI_LNC035043)". Lineage: Eukaryota; Viridiplantae; Streptophyta; Magnoliopsida; Arecales; Arecaceae. The record is from RNAcentral.